Molecule: ribosomal RNA, 492 nt
Filed under: uncultured bacterium
Lineage: Bacteria
Description: partial 16S ribosomal RNA
Rfam family: Bacterial small subunit ribosomal RNA
Source: RNAcentral
AGUGGACGCUGGCGGUAGGCCUAACACAUGCAAGUCGAACGGCAGCACAGUAAGAGCUUGCUCUUACGGGUGGCGAGUGGCGGACGGGUGAGGAAUACAUCGGAAUCUACUUUUUCGUGGGGGAUAACGUAGGGAAACUUACGCUAAUACCGCAUACGACCUACGGGUGAAAGCAGGGGAUCUUCGGACCUUGCGCGAUUGAAUGAGCCGAUGUCGGAUUAGCUAGUUGGCGGGGUAAAGGCCCACCAAGGCGACGAUCCGUAGCUGGUCUGAGAGGAUGAUCAGCCACACUGGAACUGAGACACGGUCCAGACUCCUACGGGAGGCAGUAGUGGGGAAUAUUGGACAAUGGGCGCAAGCCUGAUCCAGCCAUACCGCGUGGGUGAAGAAGGCCUUCGGGUUGUAAAGCCCUUUUGUUGGGAAAGAAAAGCAGCAGGUUAAUACCCCGCUGUUCUGACGGUACCCAAAGAAUAAGCACCGGCUAACUUCGUG